This 433-nucleotide ribosomal RNA is filed under the name uncultured bacterium. RNAcentral's name for it is "partial 16S ribosomal RNA". It matches the Rfam family "Bacterial small subunit ribosomal RNA", at positions 29 to 507 of the family's 1533-position model. The record is from RNAcentral.
AACGAACGCUGGCGGCAGGCCUAACACAUGCAAGUCGAGCGAGGACUUCGGUUCUAGCGGCGGACGGGUGAGUAACGCGUGGGAAUGUGCCCUUCUCUACGGAAUAGCCCUGGGAAACUGGGAGUAAUACCGUAUACGCCCUAUUGGGGAAAGAUUUAUCGGAGAAGGAUCAGCCCGCGUUGGAUUAGGUAGUUGGUGGGGUAAUGGCCUACCAAGCCGACGAUCCAUAGCUGGCUUGAGAGGAUGAUCAGCCACACUGGGACUGAGACACGGCCCAGACUCCUACGGGAGGCAGCAGUGGGGAAUCUUAGACAAUGGGGGCAACCCUGAUCUAGCCAUGCCGCGUGAGUGAUGAAGGCCUUAGGGUUGUAAAGCUCUUUCAGUUGGGAAGAUAAUGACGGUACCAGCAGACGAAGCCCCGGCUAACUCCGUG